This 679-nucleotide long non-coding RNA is filed under the name Oryza sativa tropical japonica subgroup. RNAcentral's name for it is "lncRNA OsAzu_06g0000620". RNAcentral also lists the same sequence under 1 other name. The record is from RNAcentral. Lineage: Eukaryota; Viridiplantae; Streptophyta; Magnoliopsida; Poales; Poaceae.
GACAUCCUCGAUGGUCACAUCUGGGUCGGAGCUGCCCCUCCCCUCGCCCGGCCGCCUCAAAAAACCCAAGCUUUUGCCGCCGCCCCGACUGGCUGACCAUCCCAAGAAAGAAGGCACCUCCUCGUCGCCUCUGCUGCCUCCACACUGCCCGCGGCGUGAGGGCCCUAGACCUCCGGGAGGGCUCCGGCGAGGUCCCGGCGGACCGCGAGUUGGAAAUGCAAUUAACAGAUUCAAAUAUUCAAUUCGCUUCUUGAUUGAGCAAGUUAUAGAGCGGCGAGAUGUCCUCGAGGGCAUCACGCUAGGCAACGCCCUGGAGAAGGAGAAGAGCAAGCUACGUGGCGGCGAUGACCCGUCGCGCUGGUCCGACGAGAAGAGCGGCAGCGGCAGGGAGUGGUCAAGCCUGGGAUGGCACGGCGAUCCUCGGCACGAGCAAGCGGUACUGCGCAUAUGCGAGGAAGGCUCGUUUGGCGACGGACGGCCGUGGCAGUCCGAGGGUUGGCGGGGAGAGGAGGGGCGGCAAGCCGGCGGCGGGUUCGGCCUGGUCAACGGCGAAUCGGCGAUGGCGGGGCGGCUGGGUCCAACGAUGAGCUCCGUGAGGGAGGAGGCGAGCUCCUUGUGCUCCGACGGAGGAGGGGCUCCCACUCCGUCCCCUCGUACUCGGGUUCCGGCGACGAGAACG